CCUACGGGUGGCAGCAGUGAGGAAUAUUGGUCAAUGGGCGAGAGCCUGAACCAGCCAAGUCGCGUGAAGGAUGACGGCCCUACGGGUUGUAAACCUCUUUUGUCGGGGAGCAAAGAGAGUCACGUGUGGCUCAUUGAGAGUACCCGAAGAAAAAGCAUCGGCUAACUCCGUGCCAGCAGCCGCGGUAAUACGGCGGAUGCGAGCGUUAUCCGGAUUUAUUGGGUUUAAAGGGUGCGCAGGCGGAGGUGCAAGUCAGUGGUCAAAUUGCGGGGCUCAACCCCGGACUGCCGUUGAAACUGCAUCCCUUGAGUGCGCGAGAAGUAUGCGGAAUGCGUGGUGUAGCGGGGAAAUGCAUAGAGAUCACGCAGAACUCCGAUUGCGAAGGCAGCAUACCGGCGCGCAACUGACGCUCAUGCACGAAAGCGUGGGUAUCGAACAGGAUUAGAUACCCCGGUAGUC
This 459-nucleotide ribosomal RNA is filed under the name uncultured bacterium. RNAcentral describes it as "partial 16S ribosomal RNA". It matches the Rfam family "Bacterial small subunit ribosomal RNA", at positions 338 to 795 of the family's 1533-position model. The record is from RNAcentral.